GUCGGGAAUAUUGCACAAUGGGCGCAAGCCUGAUGCAGCAACGCCGCGUGAGGGACGACGGCCUUCGGGUUGUAAACCUCUUUUAGCAGGGAAGAAGCGAAAGUGACGGUACCUGCAGAAAAAGCACCGGCUAACUACGUGCCAGCAGCCGCGGUAAUACGUCGGGUGCAAGCGUUGUCCGGAAUUAUUGGGCGUAAAGAGCUCGUAGGCGGUUUGUCGCGUCUGCUGUGAAAACCCGAGGCUCAACCUCGGGCCUGCAGUGGGUACGGGCAGACUAGAGUGCGGUAGGGGAGAUUGGAAUUCCUGGUGUAGCGGUGGAAUGAGCAGAUAUCAGGAGGAACACCGAUGGCGAAGGCAGAUCUCUGGGCCGUAACUGACGCUGAGGAGCGAAAGCGUGGGGAGCGAACAGGAUUAGAAACCCGGGUAGUCC
This 430-nucleotide ribosomal RNA is filed under the name uncultured bacterium. Its description in RNAcentral is "partial 16S ribosomal RNA". It matches the Rfam family "Bacterial small subunit ribosomal RNA", at positions 354 to 796 of the family's 1533-position model. The record is from RNAcentral.